Molecule: ribosomal RNA, 492 nt
Filed under: uncultured bacterium
Lineage: Bacteria
Description: partial 16S ribosomal RNA
Rfam family: Bacterial small subunit ribosomal RNA
Source: RNAcentral
AGUGAACGCUGGCGGUAGGCCUAACACAUGCAAGUCGAACGGCAGCACAGUAAGAGCUUGCUCUUACGGGUGGCGAGUGGCGGACGGGUGAGGAAUACAUCGGAAUCUACUUUUUCGUGGGGGAUAACGUAGGGAAACUUACGCUAAUACCGCAUACGACCUACGGGUGAAAGCAGGGGAUCUUCGGACCUUGCGCGAUUGAAUGAGCCGAUGUCGGAUUAGCUAGUUGGCGGGGUAAAGGCCCACCAAGGCGACGAUCCGUAGCUGGUCUGAGAGGAUGAUCAGCCACACUGGAACUGAGACACGGUCCAGACUCCUACGGGAGGCAGCAGUGGGGAAUAUUGGACAAAGGGCGCAAGCCUGAUCCAGCAAUACUGCGUGAGUGAAGAAGGCCUUCGGGUUGUAAAGCCCUUUUGUUGGGAAAGAAAAGCAGUAGGUUAAUACCCCGCUGUUCUGACGGUACCCAAAGAAUAAGCACCGGCUAACUUCGUG